RNAcentral lists this non-coding RNA (87 nucleotides) under unclassified sequences. The record is from RNAcentral.
UUCACUUAGCCGCCGGGUUAGGUGACAGAGUGCCUUUGAGCCAUAUCGUUAGGCCUUAGAAGAUAUGGACUUAUGGCACUUUUAUUU